This 4278-nucleotide long non-coding RNA is filed under the name Citrus x clementina. Its description in RNAcentral is "Citrus clementina (C. clementina) long non-coding RNA (CCLE_LNC004799)". Lineage: Eukaryota; Viridiplantae; Streptophyta; Magnoliopsida; Sapindales; Rutaceae. The record is from RNAcentral.
GGGGGCUGAUUUUUGGGCGCGGGUGUGCCCGUGGCCUAUUUUUGGCACACGGAGGCCGCCCGCAAAGUCUGGGGCCAUUCCGAGUCCGGCGGACGAGCUACGCCCACGCCCCCCACCAAGGCUAUAGCCCACCCAUUUUUUGGCCAUUUUUCCGCUGGGGGGUCUUUGCGCCCCGACCUUCGGGGGCUGAAUUUUGGGCGCGGGUGUGCCCGUGGCCUAUUUUUGGCACACGGAGGCCGCCCGCAAAGUCUGGGGCCAUUCCGAGUCCGGCGGACGAACUUCGCCCACGCCCCCCACCAAGGCUAUAGCCCACCCGUUUUUUGGCCAUUUUUCCGCUGGGGGGUCUUGGCGCCCCGACCUUCGGGGGCUGAUUUUUGGGCGCGGGUGUGCCCGUGGCCUAUUUCGGGCACACGGAGGCCGCCCGCAAAGUCGGGGGCCAUUUCGAGUCCGGCGGACGAACUUCGCCCACGCCCCCCACCAAGGCUAUAGCCCACCCGUUUUUUGGCCAUUUUUCCGCUGGGGGGUCUUGGCGCCCCGACCUUCGGGGGCUGAAUUUUGGGCGCGGGUGUGCCCGUGGCCUAUUUUUGGCACACGGAGGCCGCCCGCAAAGUCUGGGGCCAUUCCGAGUCCGGCGGACGAACUUCGCCCACGCCCCCCACCAAGGCUAUAGCCCACCCGUUUUUUGGCCAUUUUUCCGCUGGGGGGUUUUGGCACCACGACCUUCGCGCGCUUAUUUCUGGGCGCGGCUUUGCCCGCGGCUUAUUUUUGGCACCCCGAGGCCCCUCGCAAAGUCUCGCCCCAUUCCGAGUCCGGCGGACGAACUUCGCCCGCGCCCCCCACCAAGGCUAUAGCCCACCCGUUUUUUGGCCAUUUUUCCGCUGGGGGGUUUUGGCACCACGACCUUCGCGCGCUUAUUUCUGGGCGCGGCUUUGCCCGCGGCUUAUUUUUGGCACCCCGAGGCCCCUCGCAAAGUCUCGCCGCAUUCCGAGUCCGGCGGACGAACGUCGCCCGCGCCCCCCACCAAGUCUAUAGCCCACCCGUUUUUUGGCCAUUUUUCCGCUCGGGGGUUUUGGCACCACGACCUUCGGGCGCUUAUUUUUGGGCGCGGCUUUGCCCGCGGCUUAUUUUUGGCACCCCGAGGCCCCUCGCAAAGUCUCGCCCCAUUCCGAGUCCGGCGGACGAACUUCGCCCGCGCCCCCCACCAAGGCUAUAGCCCACCCGUUUUUUGGCCAUUUUUCCGCUGGGGGGUCUUGGCGCCCCGACCUUCGGGGGCUGAUUUUUGGGCGCGGGUGUGCCCGUGGCCUAUUUUUGGCACACGGAGGCCGCCCGCAAAGUCUGGGGCCAUUCCGAGUCCGGCGGACGAACUUCGCCCACGCCCCCCACCAAGGCUAUAGCCCACCCGUUUUUUGGCCAUUUUUCCGCUGGGGGGUCUUGGCGCCCCGACCUUCGGGGGCUGAAUUUUGGGCGCGGGUGUGCCCGUGGCCUAUUUUUGGCACACGGAGGCCGCCCGCAAAGUCUGGGGCCAUUCCGAGUCCGGCGGACGAACUUCGCCCACGCCCCCCACCAAGGCUAUAGCCCACCCGUUUUUUGGCCAUUUUUCCGCUGGGGGGUCUUGGCGCCCCGACCUUCGGGGGCUGAAUUUUGGGCGCGGGUGUGCCCGUGGCCUAUUUUUGGCACACGGAGGCCGCCCGCAAAGUCUGGGGCCAUUCCGAGUCCGGCGGACGAACUUCGCCCACGCCCCCCACCAAGGCUAUAGCCCACCCGUUUUUUGGCCAUUUUUCCGCUGGGGGGUCUUGGCGCCCCGACCUUCGGGGGCUGAAUUUUGGGCGCGGGUGUGCCCGUGGCCUAUUUUUGGCACACGGAGGCCGCCCGCAAAGUCUGGGGCCAUUCCGAGUCCGGCGGACGAACUUCGCCCACGCCCCCCACCAAGGCUAUAGCCCACCCGUUUUUUGGCCAUUUUUCCGCUGGGGGGUCUUGGCGCCCCGACCUUCGGGGGCUGAUUUUUGGGCGCGGGUGUGCCCGUGGCCUAUUUUUGGCACACGGAGGCCGCCCGCAAAGUCUGGGGCCAUUCCGAGUCCGGCGGACGAACUUCGCCCACGCCCCCCACCAAGGCUAUAGCCCACCCGUUUUUUGGCCAUUUUUCCGCUGGGGGGUCUUGGCGCCCCGACCUUCGGGGACUGAUUUUUGGGCGCGGCUGUGCCCGUGGCCUAUUUUUGGCACACGGAGGCCGCCCGCAAAGUCUGGGGCCAUUCCGAGUCCGGCGGACGAACUUCGCCCACGCCCCCCACCAAGGCUAUAGCCCACCCGUUUUUUGGCCAUUUUUCCGCUGGGGGGUCUUGGCGCCCCGACCUUCGGGGGCUGAAUUUUGGGCGCGGGUGUGCCCGUGGCCUAUUUUUGGCACACGGAGGCCGCCCGCAAAGUCUGGGGCCAUUCCGAGUCCGGCGGACGAACUUCGCCCACGCCCCCCACCAAGGCUAUAGCCCACCCGUUUUUUGGCCAUUUUUCCGCUGGGGGGUCUUGGCGCCCCGACCUUCGGGGGCUGAAUUUUGGGCGCGGGUGUGCCCGUGGCCUAUUUUUGGCACACGGAGGCCGCCCGCAAAGUCUGGGGCCAUUCCGAGUCCGGCGGACGAACUUCGCCCACGCCCCCCACCAAGGCUAUAGCCCACCCGUUUUUUGGCCAUUUUUCCGCUGGGGGGUCUUGGCGCCCCGACCUUCGGGGGCUGAUUUUUGGGCGCGGGUGUGCCCGUGGCCUAUUUUUGGCACACGGAGGCCGCCCGCAAAGUCUGGGGCCAUUGCGAGUCCGGCGGACGAACUUCGCCCACCACCCCCACCAAGGCUAUAGCCCACCCGUUUUUUGGCCAUUUUUCCGCUGGGGGGUCUUGGCGCCCCGACCUUCGGGGGCUGAAUUUUGGGCGCGGGUGUGCCCGUGGCCUAUUUUUGGCACACGGAGGCCGCCCGCAAAGUCUGGGGCCAUUCCGAGUCCGGCGGACGAACUUCGCCCACGCCCCCCACCAAGGCUAUAGCCCACCCGUUUUUUGGCCAUUUUUCCGCUGGGGGGUCUUGGCGCCACGACCUUCGGGGGCUUAAUUUUGGGCGCGGGUGUUCCCGUGGCCUAUUUUUGGCACACGGAGGCCGCCCGCAAAGUCUGGGCCAUUCCGAGUCCGGCGGACGAACUUCGCCCACGCCCCCCACCAAGGCUAUAGCCGACCCGUUUUUUGGCCAUUUUUCCGCUGGGGGGUCUUGGCGCCCCGACCUUCGGGGGCUGAAUUUUGGGCGCGGGUGUGCCCGUGGCCUAUUUUUGGCACACGGAGGCCGCCCGCAAAGUCUGGGGCCAUUCCGAGUCCGGCGGACGAACUUCACCCACGCCCCCCACCAAGGCUAUAGGCCACCCGUUUUUUGGACAUUUUUCCGCUGGGGGGUCUUGGCGCCCCGACCUUCGGGGGCUGAAUUUGGGGCGCGGGUGUGCCCGUGGCCUAUUUUUGGCACACGGAGGCCGCCCGCAAAGUCUGGGGCCAUUCCGAGUCCGGCGGACGAACUUCGCCCACGCCCCCCACCAAGGCUAUAGCCCACCCGUUUUUUGGCCAUUUUUCCGCUGGGGGGUCUUGGCGCCCCGACCUUCGGGGGCUGAAUUUUGGGCGCGGGUGUGCCCGUGGCCUAUUUUUGGCACACGGAGGCCGCCCGCAAAGUCUGGGGCCAUUCCGAGUCCGGCGGACUAACUUCGCCCACGCCCCCCACCAAGGCUAUAGCCCACCCGUUUUUUGGCCAUUUUUCCGCUGGGGGGUCUUGGCGCCCCGACCUUCGGGGGCUGAAUUUUGGGCGCGGGUGUGCCCGUGGCCUAUUUUUGGCACACGGAGGCCGCCCGCAAAGUCUGGGGCCAUUCCGAGUCCGGCGGACGAACUUCGCCCACGCCCCCCACCAAGGCUAUAGCCCACCCGUUUUUUGGCCAUUUUUCCGCUGGGGGGUCUUGGCGCCCCGACCUUCGGGGGCUGAAUUUUGGGCGCGGGUGUGCCCGUGGCCUAUUUUUGGCACACGGAGGCCGCCCGCAAAGUCUGGGGCCAUUCCGAGUCCGGCGGACGAACUUCGCCCACGCCCCCCACCAAGGCUAUAGCCCACCCGUUUUUUGGCCAUUUUUCCGCUGGGGGGUCUUGGCGCCCCGACCUUCGGGGGCUGAAUUUUGGGCACGGGUGUGCCCGUGGCCUAUUUUUGGCACACGGAGGCCGCCCGCAAAGUCUGGGGCCAUUCCGAGUCCGGCGGACGAACUUCGCCCACGCCCCCCAC